GUGACCCCAUGUGUUUAGGUAUGAUUCUGGUCCUCUCUGUGAUUUCUUACUCUUGUGCAUGUAGUUGACCAUGUAGCCUCUCCACAUGCCCAUUGCUGGGCUGGAGUAUCCAGUUUUGUGUCAACAUAAUUUAUAACGUUUAGUAAUAUCACUGUUGUUGUUGCGGUUUGUAUUCAAGUCGAAGGAGUUUUAUUGAAGCUGUGGGUUUUAUUUUGUUGUUUUUCUACCACCAAUCAAUCAGAUAAGAAGAGUUGUUGCUACAAUUCGGUGAAGUUGAUGAAAUUUUUUGGGUGAUUUCUGGUAGUACUGGAAUCGUGCCAUUGCAGGUACUAGUUGAUAUUCUCAGCAUUUAACAUGCUAGUCAAGCUGGACUGCGUGUUUGAAUGCAUCUAGAGGUGCAGCGAGGCAAGCCAACGGUGAAGCGCGGGCAAGGCAGACGCACCAAACGACGACAUUGUAGAACUGUGUUGCCGGCUAGCUCAGGCGGAGCCGCUGCCGUGCUGGCCUAGGACCGGUUGGGUAAUUGUGUUGGUGCUGUCAUAUUCAUCAUCCAGAGGUGGUAGUAGCCCGAUGAAUUGUGUGUGUAAUAAUAAUAUUCAUUCAUGCUCCGGAUGGCAGAGCAGAGUUUGUUGUACUGUAA
Non-coding RNA from Lolium perenne, 640 nucleotides. The record is from RefSeq and is a predicted model, not a curated record. Lineage: Eukaryota; Viridiplantae; Streptophyta; Magnoliopsida; Poales; Poaceae.